Molecule: ribosomal RNA, 336 nt
Filed under: uncultured bacterium
Lineage: Bacteria
Description: bacterial SSU rRNA
Rfam family: Bacterial small subunit ribosomal RNA
Source: RNAcentral
ACUCCUACGGGAGGCAGCAGUGGGGAAUAUUGCACAAUGGGCGCAAGCCUGAUGCAGCCAUGCCGCGUGUAUGAAGAAGGCCUUCGGGUUGUAAAGUACUUUCAGCAGUGAGGAAGGUGGGUAGUGUUAAUAGCAUACUCAUUUGUACGUUAGCUGCAGAAGAAGCACCGGCUAACUCCGUGCCAGCAGCCGCGGUAAUACGGAGGGUGCGAGCGUUAAUCGGAAUUACUGGGCGUAAAGCGCAUGCAGGUGGUUGUUAAGUCAGAUGUGAAAGCCCGGGGCUCAACCUCGGAAUUGCAUUUGAAACUGGCAAACUAGAGUACUGUAGAGGGGGUA